RNAcentral lists this ribosomal RNA (420 nucleotides) under uncultured bacterium. RNAcentral's name for it is "bacterial SSU rRNA". It matches the Rfam family "Bacterial small subunit ribosomal RNA", at positions 355 to 787 of the family's 1533-position model. The record is from RNAcentral.
GGGGGAAUAUUGCACAAUGGGGGAAACCCUGAUGCAGCAACGCCGCGUGAAGGAUGAAGGUUUUCGGAUCGUAAACUUCUAUCAACAGGGACGAAACAAAUGACGGUACCUGAAUAAGAAGCCCCGGCUAACUACGUGCCAGCAGCCGCGGUAAUACGUAGGGGGCAAGCGUUAUCCGGAAUUACUGGGUGUAAAGGGAGCGUAGGCGGCACGUCAAGCCAGAUGUGAAAGCCCGGGGGCUUAACCCCGUGGAUUGCAUUUGGAACUGGCGAGCUAGAGUACAGGAGAGGAAAGCGGAAUUCCUAGUGUAGCGGUGAAAUGCGUAGAUAUUAGGAAGAACACCAGUGGCGAAGGCGGCUUUCUGGACUGAAACUGACGCUGAGGCUCGAAAGCGUGGGGAGCAAACAGGAUUAGAUACCC